GGUAACAGGAAUUAGCUUGCUAAUUUGCUGACGAGUGGCGCACGGGUGCGUAACGCGUAUACAAUCUACCUUUUGCUGAGGGAUAGCCCAGAGAAAUUUGGAUUAAUACCUCAUGGUAUUAUUGAUAGGCAUCUAUUAAUAAUUAAAGGUUACGGCAAAAGAUGAGUAUGCGUCCCAUUAGCUAGUUGGCGAGGUAACGGCUCACCAAGGCAACGAUGGGUAGGGGUCCUGAGAGGGAGAUCCCCCACACUGGUACUGAGACACGGACCAGACUCCUACGGGAGGCAGCAGUGAGGAAUAUUGGACAAUGGGCGAGAGCCUGAUCCAGCCAUGCCGCGUGCAGGAAGACUGCCCUAUGGGUUGUAAACUGCUUUUAUACAGGAAGAAUAAGCCUUACGUGUAAGGUGAUGACGGUACUGUAAGAAUAAGGACCGGCUAACUCCGUGCCAGCAGCCGCGGUAAUACGGAGGGUCCGAGCGUUAUCCGGAAUUAUUGGGUUUAAAGAGUCCGUAGGCGGAUGAUUAAGUCAGGGGUGAAAGUUUGCAGCUCAACUGUAAAAUUGCCUUUGAUACUGGUCAUCUUGAGUUGUAUUGAAGUAGGCGGAAUAUGUAGUGUAGCGGUGAAAUGCAUAGAUAUUACAUAGAACACCAAUUGCGAAGGCAGCUUACUAAGUACUAACUGACGCUGAUGGACGAAAGCGUGGGUAGCGAACAGGAUUAGAUACCCUGGUAGUCCACGCCGUAAACGAUGGAUACUAGCUGUUCGGG
RNAcentral lists this ribosomal RNA (767 nucleotides) under uncultured Bacteroidota bacterium. RNAcentral describes it as "bacterial SSU rRNA". It matches the Rfam family "Bacterial small subunit ribosomal RNA", at positions 68 to 828 of the family's 1533-position model. Lineage: Bacteria; Pseudomonadati; Bacteroidota. The record is from RNAcentral.